Mirounga angustirostris (Northern elephant seal) is the source of this 973-nucleotide long non-coding RNA. RefSeq lists it as uncharacterized. The record is from RefSeq and is a predicted model, not a curated record. The transcript has 3 exons. NCBI's taxonomy places the organism in Eukaryota, Metazoa, Chordata, Mammalia, Carnivora, Phocidae.
AGGAGGAGGAGGAGGAGGAGGAGGGGAAGGAGAAAGAAGAAGAAAAAGGAGGAGGAGGAGGAGGAGAAAAGUUCAUUUGCUCUCUUAUGAAGCCAAGCCCGGCCACAAGGACGUGCAUCUCUGACCUUGCAGAGUUACCUGCAGUCAAACCACGGUCCCGAAGCAGAUGAUCCGCUUCCUGCCAUAUGAUCAUCACCACAGCCUAACACUACGUCAAAAUGCCUACGUCACUUCAUCUCAUCACGUGGGCAUUUUAGCAUCUCACAUCAUCACAAGAAGACAAAGGAUGACAGAAUCGGAUCCACUCCGUCCAGUCAGCAGGCUGAGGAAGAGGGUGUGCUCACCUGCGAGGCUUUCCUGGGCGGGGUCUGGAAGCGAUGAUGUCACUUCUGCUCACUUUCACUGGCCGGAACUCAGUCACAUGAUCACACCUCACUGCAAGGGAAGCUGGGAGAUGUAGUCUCGCCCUGCGCUCAGGGGAAACCAGAGAUGGGAUUUGCUGACUGGGCGGCAAGCUCUGCCCAGGCUCUUUCCUGCAUUAAGGCCAUUGAAGCCCCAGAAGGAGAUGUUACGAAAGAGUCACACUGCGGCUGGACUGGAGUUCAAUGCCAGGCCUCCUGGCUCCUCAGCACAAUGGUACCUGGCUUCCCAUGGAAGAGGAGAGGGAGGGCAAGGAAGCCGAAGAACAGUGGGAUGAAUAUUGUCAACCAGGAAUAGGAAGCUAUAUUCGAGGGACAGUGGGCAGAGGUGGGACUUGGAGUCCCAAGACGGGGUUUUAAGGCCUUUGAGGCCAUUUUUCGCUGUGUGGCAUUGUGCAACUCAGUUUUUCUCUGAGCCUCAGUUUAUUGUAAUAGGAUGAUAACCUGUCUUUUUUUUCUUUUAAGAUUUUAUUUAUUUUAUUUGAGAGAGAGUGCGUGCAAGCAGGGGGAGGAUCAGAGGGGGAGGGAGAAGGGGAAAGGAUCCCAAGCAGACU